UUCUUAAACUAUGGGUCACGGGUUGCCGCUAGUGGAUCGCGAGUCACUGUUGAAUUUAAUAUUAAUGGAUCACGUAUGGUCUGUGAAGUGAGCCGCCGAGGGUUGAUUACGCAAUUGACAUAGCUCAAAAAAAAUCCUCCUGGAUCCACCCCCAACCGCUGCUCUGACAAUCGGCGGCUGUUCUCCAAGGGAGCUGCCACCCCCUGCUCUAAGGAUCGGCGGCGAUUCUUUAACGGGAAACACCGUGACGAUCGUCGAAUCUCCCAGGGAGACCGUACGCUGACGAUCGUCCAGGGUCCUAUGCCUGUGACCUGGCAAUGGAAAAAACAGGAUCAAAAGACAGAGCAAUACAUCUGUUUGCUUCAUGAUAUGACAUUCCAAAUUUUUUUAGAAGUACUGGUGAAAGGUGACAGUUGAACCUCAGCCAAAAUCAACUACAGUAUGCAUCCAAGAAGAGUGUGGAAGCAGCAAAGCCUAAGAGGAAGGUUGCAGUAUCGAUGAUUUAGCUGAAAAAGGAACGUAUUGCUUAGCAUGAAGCACCGAGAAACUGCCCAGAGAGGACACCUAUCCCCACCCCUUCCAGUUUGUGUGAUAUAAGAAGCCCGGCUGCCCAGAAAGAGGAGUCUUUUGUAUUCAGAGCGACCUGUUGGAUGGAGCUUCUUUUCUGUGGCAAAGAGUCAAAUACUUUUCUUGUUUUGCCCAAGAGGCUGU
Polypterus senegalus (gray bichir) is the source of this 711-nucleotide long non-coding RNA. RefSeq lists it as uncharacterized. The transcript has 5 exons. The record is from RefSeq and is a predicted model, not a curated record. NCBI's taxonomy places the organism in Eukaryota, Metazoa, Chordata, Cladistia, Polypteriformes, Polypteridae.